CGAAAGCCUGACGGAGCAAGACCGCGUGGGGGAAGAAGGCUCUUGGGUUGUAAACCCCUUUUCUCUGGGAAGAAAGUUGUGAAAGCAACCUGACGGUACCAGAGGAAUCAGCAUCGGCUAACUCCGUGCCAGCAGCCGCGGUAAGACGGAGGAUGCAAGCGUUAUCCGGAAUGAUUGGGCGUAAAGCGUCCGCAGGUGGCAGUUCAAGUCUGCUGUCAAAGACCGGUGCUUAACUUCGGAAAGGCAGUGGAAACUGAACAGCUAGAGUAUGGUAGGGGCAGAGGGAAUUCCUGGUGUAGCGGUGAAAUGCGUAGAGAUCAGGAAGAACAUCGGUAGCGACGGCGCUCUGCUGGACCAUAACUGACACUCAGGGACGAAAGCUAGGGGAGCG
RNAcentral lists this ribosomal RNA (391 nucleotides) under uncultured Oscillatoria sp. RNAcentral's name for it is "bacterial SSU rRNA". It matches the Rfam family "Bacterial small subunit ribosomal RNA", at positions 376 to 770 of the family's 1533-position model. The record is from RNAcentral. Lineage: Bacteria; Bacillati; Cyanobacteriota; Cyanophyceae; Oscillatoriales; Oscillatoriaceae.